GACGAACGCUGGCGGCGUGCUUAACACAUGCAAGUCGAACGGAAAGGCCCUGCUUUUGUGGGGUGCUCGAGUGGCGAACGGGUGAGUAACACGUGAGUAACCUGCCCUUGACUUUGGGAUAACUUCAGGAAACUGGGGCCAAUACCGGAUAGGAGCUCCUGCUGCAUGGUGGGGGUUGGAAAGUUUCGGCGGUUGGGGAUGGACUCGCGGCUUAUCAGCUUGUUGGUGGGGUAGUGGCUUACCAAGGCUUUGACGGGUAGCCGGCCUGAGAGGGUGACCGGCCACAUUGGGACUGAGAUACGGCCCAGACUCCUACGGGAGGCAGCAGUGGGGAAUAUUGCACAAUGGGCGGAAGCCUGAUGCAGCAACACCGCGUGCGGGAUGACGGCCUUCGGGUUGUAAACCGCUUUCGCCUGUGACGAAGCGUGAGUGACGGUAAUGGGUAAAGAAGCACCGGCUAACUACGUGCCAGCAGCCGCGGUGAUACGUAGGGUGCGAGCGUUGUCCGGAUUUAUCGGGCGUAAAGGGCUCGUAGGUGGUUGAUCGCGUCGGAAGUGUAAUCUUGGGGCUUAACCCUGAGCGUGCUUUCGAUACGGGUUGACUUGAGGAAGGUAGGGGAGAAUGGAAUUCCUGGUGGAGCGGUGGAAUGCGCAGAUAUCUGGAGGAACACCAGUGGCGAAGGCGGUUCUCUGGGCCUUUCCUGACGCUGAGGAGCGAAAGCGUGGGGAGCGAACAGGCUUAGAUACCCUGGUAGUCCACGCUGUAAACGGUGGGUACUAGGUGUGGGGUCCAUUCCACGGGUUCCGUGCCGUAGCUAACGCUUUAAGUACCCCGCCUGGGGAGUACGGCCGCAAGGCUAAAACUCAAAGGAAUUGACGGGGCCCCGCACAAGCGGCGGAGCAUGCGGAUUAAUUCGAUGCAACGCGUAGAACCUUACCUGGGUUUGACAUGGAUCGGGAGUGCUCAGAGAUGGGUGUGCCUCUUUUGGGGUCGGUUCACAGGUGGUGCAUGGCUGUCGUCAGCUCGUGUCGUGAGAUGUUGGGUUAAGUCCCGCAACGAGCGCAACCCUUGUUCACUGUUGCCAGCACGUUAUGGUGGGGACUCAGUGGAGACCGCCGGGGUCAACUCGGAGGAAGGUGGGGAUGACGUCAAGUCAUCAUGCCCCUUAUGUCCAGGGCUUCACGCAUGCUACAAUGGCUGGUACAGAGAGUGGCGAGCCUGUGAGGGUGAGCGAAUCUCGGAAAGCCGGUCUCAGUUCGGAUUGGGGUCUGCAACUCGACCUCAUGAAGUCGGAGUCGCUAGUAAUCGCAGAUCAGCAACGCUGCGGUGAAUACGUUCCCGGGGCU
This 1346-nucleotide ribosomal RNA is filed under the name uncultured bacterium. Its description in RNAcentral is "partial 16S ribosomal RNA". It matches the Rfam family "Bacterial small subunit ribosomal RNA", at positions 28 to 1381 of the family's 1533-position model. The record is from RNAcentral.